Molecule: long non-coding RNA, 499 nt
Organism: Vitis vinifera (wine grape)
Lineage: Eukaryota; Viridiplantae; Streptophyta; Magnoliopsida; Vitales; Vitaceae
Exons: 2
Source: RefSeq, a predicted model, not a curated record
GGCACAUAGCAUGAAACAACUGCCCUUGUUAGAGCAUCUCGUGAUUUUCGAUUGCAAAAGGCUCAAUUCACUGGAUGGAAAUGGGGAAGACCACGUUCCAGGGCUCGGGAAUCUACGAGUUUUGAUGCUUGGAAAAUUACCAAAGUUGGAGGCACUGCCAGUGUGCAGCCUCACAUCCCUUGACAAACUUAUGAUUGAAGAAUGCCCUCAAUUGACUGAAAGAUGCAAGAAAACAACAGGGGAGGAUUGGCAUAAAAUCUCUCAUGUUUCAGAGAUAUAUAUUGAUGGCGUCAAAACACCAGAAAAUUAAGCAAGGAGAUCCACUCAGAGUGAUGAUGAAGCCUAACAUGGAUUUGAGCAAGACACAUUCUUUUUUCCUUUUUUUCUUUUUGCCUUCAAGUAAAAGCAGUUUAUUCAUCAAUUGGGGGAGUGUUAUUGAACAAAAGUCUGGAAUCUAUUUAUUUUCCGUAAAUAUAAAGGUUAAGCCACUUCUCUUCAA